Molecule: ribosomal RNA, 690 nt
Filed under: uncultured Bacteroides sp.
Lineage: Bacteria; Pseudomonadati; Bacteroidota; Bacteroidia; Bacteroidales; Bacteroidaceae
Description: bacterial SSU rRNA
Rfam family: Bacterial small subunit ribosomal RNA
Source: RNAcentral
AACGCUAGCUACAGGCUUAACACAUGCAAGUCGAGGGGCAGCACGGUGUAGCAAUACAUGGGUGGCGACCGGCGCACGGGUGCGUAACGCGUAUCCAACCUUCCCGAUACUCAGGGAUAGCCUUCCGAAAGGGAGAUUAAUACCUGAUGGUGUUUUAAUUCCGCAUGUUAAUGAAACUAAAGAUUUAUCGGUAUCGGAUGGGGAUGCGUGACAUUAGAUAGUAGGCGGGGUAACGGCCCACCUAGUCUACGAUGUCUAGGGGUUCUGAGAGGAAGGUCCCCCACACUGGAACUGAGACACGGUCCAGACUCCUACGGGAGGCAGCAGUGAGGAAUAUUGGUCAAUGGUCGGAAGACUGAACCAGCCAAGUAGCGUGAAGGAUGAAGGUUCUAUGGAUUGUAAACUUCUUUUAUACGGGAAUAAAACCACCUACGUGUAGGUGCUUGUAUGUACCGUAUGAAUAAGCAUCGGCUAACUCCGUGCCAGCAGCCGCGGUAAUACGGAGGAUGCGAGCGUUAUCCGGAUUUAUUGGGUUUAAAGGGAGCGUAGACGGGAGAUUAAGUCAGUUGUGAAAGGCUGCGGCUCAACCGCAGCACUGCAGUUGAUACUGGUUUCCUUGAGUUCGGUUGAGGUAUGUGGAAUUCGUGGUGUAGCGGUGAAAUGCUUAGAUAUCACGAAGAACGCCGAUUG